UAGAAGUCAGGUCGGAUUAAGCCAUAGUACGGGAAAAACUAUGCUACCUGUGAGCCCCGUCCAAGGACGUUAAAAGAAGUCAGGCCACUACAAGUGCCAUAACUUGAGCAAAUUAUGCAGCCUGUAGCUCCACCUGGGAAGGUGUAAAAAAUCUGGGAGGCCACAAACCAUGGAAGCUGUACGCAUGGCGUAGUGGACUAGCGGUUAGAGGAGACCCCUCCCUUGCAAAUCGCAGCAACAAUGGGGGCCCAAGGUGAGAUGAAGCUGUAGUCUCACUGGAAG
This 282-nucleotide long non-coding RNA is filed under the name dengue virus type 2. Its description in RNAcentral is "Dengue virus type 2 partial sfRNA1". The stretch from base 156 to 227 matches the Rfam family "Flavivirus DB element". Lineage: Riboviria; Orthornavirae; Kitrinoviricota; Flasuviricetes; Amarillovirales; Flaviviridae. The record is from RNAcentral.